Molecule: RNA transcript, 1324 nt
Organism: Prosopis cineraria
Lineage: Eukaryota; Viridiplantae; Streptophyta; Magnoliopsida; Fabales; Fabaceae
Gene name: protein DCL, chloroplastic-like
Exons: 5
Source: RefSeq, a predicted model, not a curated record
AACCAGCACGAUUAUCUUCAGCGUCAAUGUCAUCACUGAAAAUGCCAUAGUUCGUACCUCUACCUGGAGCUUUCAUUGAUUUUGCCAUCAUAAUCACUAAAUCAGAACCACCAAACCCUAACACACUCCCAAUUACCACCUUUUGCCUGGAUCGUACAACCCCGAGAUGUGAAAUGGCUGGCCCUCUACUUCGUGACAUUCUGCUUCAUAGCUCUCAAUUCCAAAACUUGCGGCGUUUUGUGGCCCGAAUCUCCGUGAAUGUGACGCCUCAUCGUUUAUUCUGUAGUCUCCCCACCAUUCCGAUUUCGGGACAAACAGGUGAGGAAGCAAGCUAUGCUGGUCAAAUCUCGAAGCUACAGGAUGACCCUGAUAAUGAGGAAUGGAAGGAUAAGGCAAAGGAGAUCGUCAACGACAUUGAUCCAAUCGUUAGGCUAGCCAAGGAUAUCCUUCACUCGGGAAGGUACAUGGUUGGAGAGCAAUUGACAGAUGAGGAUGAGAAAGUUGUGGUAGAGAAACUUCUUGUUUACCAUCCACAUUAUGAUGAUAAGAUUGGAUGCGGUCUUGCAUCAAUUAUGGUCGGAUGUCAUCCCGUGUUUAACUACUCAAAGUGUCUUUUUGUUGUAAGAACUGAUGGUGACAUGAUCGACUUCUCCUAUAAUAAGUGCCUUCAUGAGUACAUUAGAAAUAAGUACCCAUCUCAUGCAGAAAGGUUUAUUCAAGAACAUUUAAAGCAUAGUAGUGUUGGUGGCAGAGCUACACAUAAGUGAGUUUAUACCAACUAACCAAGAAAGAUAUAUUUCUAUGAUACCGCUCUGUAGUAUGUUGAAAAUGAUAUCGCCUCCUAUUGGUGGCACUGCCUGCUGGAGUGCUUGCCUCUGUUUCUACUCACAAUAAAAUCUAGAAAUACGGUGGUUCGUCAUCCCCAGUUUAGCUGAUCAAGGUUUGUUUUUGUUUUUAGAACUGACGGUGGCUGGAUCGACUUCUCUGAACAAAAGUGCCUUGGUGGGUUCUACAGAUCUCAUGCAGAAAGGUUUUUUUUUUUUUUUUUUUCCUUUUUCCUUUUUUUGGUAACAUUUAAAGCUUAGGAGCCGUUAACAUGUAUGUAUAUUUAGGUGUUGGAACUUGGUUACUCAUUUUGAUUUGUCAAUCUAUAAUAUUGUGGCUCAUUUCUUCGUUUUCUUGGCCCCCUUUGUUCAUUGCUCUGCCUAGUUUUAUUGAUUUGUCAAUGGUGGUUCAUAACUAUUAACCAGCAUAUCAAGCUUUUUCUCUAGGUGAACAUUCAGAAAAUGAUUGAAAUGAUAUUCCACUUUGUUUACUUGUGAAA